CUCCCUAGAUCACUGCAGCCCAAAGGCUUGGGCCUCCAAUAAUGUAUCAAAAAUAAAAGUAUCUAUGUGAACGUACCUAUGGAUGUGAAGGUGAGGUUGAAUUCUUGCUGGCCUGGUGAUGAAAAAGGGUAUUGCCAUUGGUGCUGAUUUGGCAGUGCAGACAUCUGUGUGGGAGGCAGGAUGGACCAGCCCCUUCCUGGGCUGUUUCCCAUUGGAGAGAUUAAAUAGGUGGUGAGAAGGGGACACGAAAUAUCAUCACAGAAACCUUGAAGGCCAGUAUACCCAGGACAAAUCACACCUUAGAUUCAGAGUUGCACUUAGUCACUGUUGGAAAAUUAGCUACUUUUUUUGCUCACUAGCCCACACGUUUGUGACAGACUAGUUCAGCAUCCUUUUGAGGAAAGUCUGAUGGUGGCUAUCACUGCCUUCAAGGGGUAUUGAAGGGCUGAGGUCACACAGGGAAUUUCCAUGCUUUGGCAGUGGAAGUUAUGCCUUUUGUCCUAAUUGUGGCAAUUGUAAAUGAUUUCUCUGGUAAAUCACAGCAAUGACUAUGUGGGAAAGGUUGUAUGCUCAGUUAAAAUGUUGGCAGAAGAGCAAAAUUUGUUUGCUGUUAAGCCCAGUGAUAUCUAGAUUCAUAAGAAACAAGAAAUAAUGGUGUAGGCUUUAUGCAGGGCAAUCCUGCAGCUCUUGAGCUGGGACUCUCCCUGCCUAACAUGUUUCCCAAGAGCAGGAUACCCAGCUGAAGCCAUUCAUCUCAAUUCUCUCUGUGACUCCAGAGUGUUCAGCACCUCACUUAUCUGACAUACCAUCAGCAGAGAUGAACAACAGUUGCUUCAUUGCCAUCUGCUUGACUGACUGCUGUUUCCAAAAAUGAUGAUCAGUGCUACUAGAAUUCCUUCCCCUGGUCUGCUCCCCCAAAUGUUCCUGCCUCCCCACACCAAGAUAUCUGCCUUCUCAGAGUGCAGCUAUCCCUGUGAAACUGUAUGCUGAAAGGACUUCCUAUGAACUGUACAAGGAAGAAUAAUGUGCUCACCAGUUACAUAGCUGGUAAUUUAUCCACUGGAAGGGAGAGGUCUCCAGGAGCCAAAGAAAUCAGCUCCACAGACACCUGACCUAGGGACUAUUGCAGGACUGUCUCCAGUGGCAAUGUGCUCUUACAAUGGGAUGAAGAGGAAUAAGUGACACUACCAUACGGCAUUCAAAUGAGUGCACUUCAGAGCAAGGUCCCUUCAACAGCAGCACCGGAGAGAAGAAACCAGGUUUUUUGUUUGUUGGGGGCUGUGGGAGAUAGCAAAGCAUUCGCUUGAGGCUCUUGACACUUGCUCAAGAAGGGGAAAUAAGGCACAGAGACAUUUUUUUUGGCCUGCUCCAGGUGCUUCCAGCCAAGCCGAGAACAAAUCCUGGGACCCUAGUAUCAUGUCUAGCUUCUGGAAAACAGCAACUCUUUUUCUGAUC
RNAcentral lists this long non-coding RNA (1455 nucleotides) under Manacus vitellinus (golden-collared manakin). Its description in RNAcentral is "lncRNA (ENSMVIG00005010824.1)". Lineage: Eukaryota; Metazoa; Chordata; Aves; Passeriformes; Pipridae. The record is from RNAcentral.